AAGACCUCGCGCUAUUAGAGCGGCCGAUGCCCGAUUAGCUAGUUGGUGAGGUAAUGGCCCACCAAGGCAACGAUCGGUAGCUGGUCUGAGAGGAUGAUCAGCCACACUGGGACUGAGACACGGCCCAGACUCCUACGGGAGGCAGCAGUGGGGAAUUUUGGACAAUGGGCGAAAGCCUGAUCCAGCCAUGCCGCGUGAGUGAAGAAGGCCUUCGGGUUGUAAAGCUCUUUCAGCCGGAACGAAAUCGUCCGGGCUAAUACUCCGGAUGGAUGACGGUACUGGACGAAGAAGCACCGGCUAACUACGUGCCAGCAGCCGCGGUAAUACGUAGGGUGCAGGCGUUAAUCGGAAUUACUGGGCGUAAAGCGUGCGCAGGCGGCUUUUCAAGUCAGAUGUGAAAUCCCCGGGCUUAACCUGGGAACU
RNAcentral lists this ribosomal RNA (423 nucleotides) under uncultured bacterium. RNAcentral describes it as "bacterial SSU rRNA". It matches the Rfam family "Bacterial small subunit ribosomal RNA", at positions 202 to 622 of the family's 1533-position model. The record is from RNAcentral.